RNAcentral lists this transfer RNA (75 nucleotides) under Clostridia bacterium. Its description in RNAcentral is "tRNA-Arg". It matches the Rfam family "tRNA". Rfam says of the family: Transfer RNA (tRNA) molecules are approximately 80 nucleotides in length. Their secondary structure includes four short double-helical elements and three loops (D, anti-codon, and T loops). Further hydrogen bonds mediate the characteristic L-shaped molecular structure. tRNAs have two regions of fundamental functional importance: the anti-codon, which is responsible for specific mRNA codon recognition, and the 3' end, to which the tRNAs corresponding amino acid is attached (by aminoacyl-tRNA synthetases). tRNAs cope with the degeneracy of the genetic code in two manners: having more than one tRNA (with a specific anti-codon) for a particular amino acid; and 'wobble' base-pairing, i.e. permitting non-standard base-pairing at the 3rd anti-codon position. RNAcentral also lists the same sequence under 2 other names. Lineage: Bacteria; Bacillati; Bacillota; Clostridia. The record is from RNAcentral.
GCGCCCGUAGCUCAGUGGAUAGAGCACUGGCCUCCGGAGCCAGGUGCAUAGGUUCGAUUCCUAUCGGGCGUACCA